RNAcentral lists this ribosomal RNA (253 nucleotides) under uncultured bacterium. RNAcentral's name for it is "partial 16S ribosomal RNA". It matches the Rfam family "Bacterial small subunit ribosomal RNA", at positions 524 to 776 of the family's 1533-position model. The record is from RNAcentral.
GACAGAGGGUGCAAACGUUGUUCGGAAUUACUGGGCGUAAAGCGUGUGUAGGCGGCCCCGCAAGUCGGAUGUGAAAGCCCCGGGCUCAACCUGGGAAGUGCAUUCGAAACUGCGGGGCUGGAGUCCUGGAGAGGAAGGCGGAAUUCUCGGUGUAGAGGUGAAAUUCGUAGAUAUCGAGAGGAACACCGGUGGCGAAGGCGGCCUUCUGGACAGUGACUGACGCUGAGACACGAAAGCGUGGGGAGCAAACGGG